CAUGGAGAUAAGAAGAAGAAGAAGAGGAGAAGGAAGGAGACGGAGAAGAGGAGGAGGAAGAUGGGAUCUUUUCGCACCGCCUGAUUCUGUGGGACAGGUGCGCAUGGACUCUGGAAAUCAGUGGCAACCCUGUGGUCAGUGUUGCAGCGGAUUCAUGGACAGAGCAGCUGACGUGUGACCCGUCAGGACACCGGGAGGAUCCACCAGCAGGACAGGUUAUGUGUACAGGCUGGAUUAUCUUUGUCACCUGAUGGAGAAUUUAUAUUAAGAACAGAUGAUGUCAGGGAUCUUUCAGCAGUGGGUGUGUUUCAUUUAUGUUUAGAUAAAGAGCAGUAAUGAGAAACCAGAGGAGCAAUAAUCCCUGGGGGUGUCUUGGGUGGACAGUUGGGUGGCGUCCCACUUUUCUGCUGCUUUGUGUUGUGUGUUCCUCUCCAGUUACACCGAUGGAAGAGCAGAUCGGGGAUCGCACUGGACCUGACGAGCGGCGUCGCUCCAUCGCCCUCGGCUGUGCUGCCACGGGAUCUGUCAGUAGAUUUACACCACGUGACGGAUGCCAUUACUGCUGUCCAGAACCUCCAGAAGGAGACGAUCCAGGUCCAAGUGUUUCCCCACUGAGAGAUGACUUCAGCUGCUUUUAUGUAUAUGUAAAAAAAAAAAAAAAAUGUCACCACUGCUUUGACAGUCAGUCUCAGCACGAUCAGAUGUAGCAGGAAGGUAUUUCAUGGCUGGUUGUUUUGAGUCCAGGGUAAUUCUGCGGUGUUCUUUUCUGUCUCCUUAAUAUGUGUGUAUUUGCCUGGCUGUGAGUAAUGCAGCUCCAUCCACCCACACUCUAGCUUUUUUUUCUCUUUUUUUUUUGGGGGGGGCUGAUGGAGAACACUGACACUGCAGCCAUCGAACACCUCUCACACCUGCUUACUUCAGCCGCUGUCUGCGGUGACCUCCUCUCCCUGUUACCUUGGUAACCCUGUUAAACAUCUGGCCACUUCAUCUGCUUGUAUGAGACACUUUAGAUUCACCAGCAGUGCCUGUUUCAACGACGCUCACGUCUCACCAAAGCUAGCAUGCGUCUCUGCCAGAUCCAGAACUGGAAAGCUCUGAUAUUUUUAAUCCAGCAAUGUUGGGAAAAAAUCUGCUCAAGUGUGUGAGAAAUUUCUCACAUUUUGACAAAGUGUAACAAUCACAGUAUGUUCUUUGUUUGUCUUGAAACCACUUAAUUUGGAUGUGACACCAACUAUUUUUUGUUUUUUUGGAUACAGAUCGUCCUUUGUGUAUUUUAACUGUUCUGCGUGGGCGCGCGUGUGUCGGCGAGAGUGCAUGUGUUUCGUGUGCACGUGCUCUAUUGGUGUGUGUGUGUGUGUGUGUGUGUGUGUGUGCGCGCGUGUGUCUGUUCCCGUACAUGUGCAUGUGUAUCAUGUCUGUGUGAUGAAACAGACAUCUGUAAUGCUCUUGAAGCUACUGGCUGCUUUUCAGUGAUUAUCUCAUCGCUGCAAAAAACAAAACGAAAAAAAAAAAAAGAAUAAAAAAUGCCUGCAGCUCUUCUUUUUUAGCCACCGACGGGAUAAAAAUGUAUUUACAAAUGAUUCUUAGCAUUUGUUUUUUUCGACCUCUUUCGAGUAGCAGUUGGGUGGGGGACUUCUUUUGUGAUUUAGAUAAUCACAAGGAUGUCGCUGGAAAUUAAUGGUGUGUAGUUUUCUAAAUGAUGCCUGCUGGCGUUAAUUAGCCUGUCAGGAUGCCUACAGCCCCACCAUCUGAUACUUAAGCAAAUUACAGCAAAUGCUAAUAAUUAUGUGCAAAUAGCUUUUUACCCAGGUCUGGAUUCUACUAACAGUACCUCACUAAUAUCUAACAAUACUAAUGUCUGCUAACAAGUCUGAUGAUUACUAACCUGUUCUCUGAAUGCUGAUGGCUGGCCUUGUUCUCUCUAACCCCACUGACUAACCCCUCUGCUUUAUGCCCGCAGUCUGAUGCACACGCUCCUCUCUCACGCUCCUGCAAUCCUUCUGCCACGUAGAAACCAACUUCCCAUUGACCAUGACAGAAGACAAUCUGUUAGAUGCGAGCGAGACAAGAAGGGUUUCAGGACGUGGGAAGGGAGAUGUUGCUGACCACUCGAUGAAAAGAGGAGCAGAAACAGCUGCUGAUACCAAACCGGGUUGACCACAUACUUUGGAAGAAUCCCUUACAGCAACAACAACAACAACAACAAAAAAAAUCGAUUGCGAUCUGACUCCAAACGACCCCGUGUCGCAUUUUAACGGGCUAAAUUCACGUCCCUCAGAGACUGUGUACUGUGUGGUCAACCUUCGCAGGUGAGUGGCUGGCUCGUUUUACCGCGAGCCGAGCAAACCUCAACUCCACUACUAACUCACUACGGUGUUGAUACUAACAGCGGUGAGGCUGGAAAAGGUCCACCCGUUGCUCUUACUAACAUGUCUGGUGGUGAUGUCUGAAAACCAAAUUAUUCCGUCUCUUUACGAACCUUUAGUCAAGUCCAAGCAUGCCUCGUGGCACUACGUGACAACACUAGUGCCACGAGCAUGUGCUUUCUUAGCCACGGCUCUAGCCGUGUCAGCUCUUUUUCAAACAAGCUCGACAGGCUACUAACAUCUCCUGAAGUAAAAAUUAACAAGAGACUAACCGAAGAGCUUUUAUUGGCUCCCUGCAGACUAACAAACUAACCCACUAAUAAACUAAUAAUCUAACAAAAACUAACUGGAAUCACUAACAUUUUGUCGAAAGCGAGUGGCGGAAUCGGCGAAGCGCUCCCGUGAUGCUGUAGGAGCUGCUACACUCACGUGAACGUACUAACAGAAUUCAGUUUUGAAGAGUUAUUGAUGGGACUUGAAUGUAUGUGUGUGUGUGUGUGUGUGUGUGUGUGUGUGUGUGUGAGCGAGAGAGAGAGAAAGAGAGAGAGCCCAGAAGAGUGUGUGUGUGUUUUUUUGUUAGCAAAUACUUAAAUCCAAAUGAGUGUCCACCUGGUUUUUGUCCUCUCAGGCGACAUUUGAACCCAUGCAUGCAGUUUGUAUCCAUCAGAGCAGUUUCAGAAUAGUGUAUCAUGUUGUACCAUAUUGCUUAGCUGAUACGAGCCUUUGCUACAUCAUUUUGUAAUAAACUACUCUCACAUCAAUACAACUUUUUUAUUAUUAUUAUUAUUAUUAUUGUAUUGCAUUGUGUCUUUACUGUUUAAAUGAAGAGCUGAGACCUGCAGAGUCAAACACAGGAAGUCUCUUCCAGGAAAGCAUUGCGAUUGGCCACAACAACUACAGCAACGCCGAAAGGUUCUUACAGGAGCGUGUUCUCUGCACCCAGCCGGGGAAUUACAAGGUAUUUUCUAUUUUUGCGGUGUUAUAGAGUGCAAACUGCAGGAGUGCCAUUAUCUGAAAUAACAGCUUUGUGUCUUGAUUGCUGUAAUCAUACUGAAGCAUGAUUACGGCUGCAGCAUGUUCAACACACGCAGAGCCAUGCCGUCAUUUGAGAAUCAACUAAAUCUGUGUAAUUCAACAAUAAAAGAG
RNAcentral lists this long non-coding RNA (3512 nucleotides) under Sparus aurata (gilthead seabream). RNAcentral's name for it is "lncRNA (ENSSAUG00010024315.1)". Lineage: Eukaryota; Metazoa; Chordata; Actinopteri; Spariformes; Sparidae. The record is from RNAcentral.